Anas platyrhynchos (mallard) is the source of this 459-nucleotide non-coding RNA. The record is from RefSeq and is a predicted model, not a curated record. Lineage: Eukaryota; Metazoa; Chordata; Aves; Anseriformes; Anatidae.
ACCGCGCUGAAAGCGGCGAUUCCUUUGGAGAAACAAAACUCCUAAAAUUCAUGCGGUUCCUAGCACCCAGCAGCUGCGCGCUCCGUUAUUCGAGGCUGCCUGUGGAGGAGUUGGGGAGCAGAGGUAUUUCGGCCUCCUCCCCUUUGCAGUUCACCUCCUGCUGCUUGUUGCUUCCCUGAAAGCCCGUUAAGGUUUCAGUUGACUUUGGAUGCACAGAAAUACAUCAUUAGUUUAUUAAAGAAGGAAAUGGAAUGCUGCCUUUUCCAGUAAAUCACACUUUCUUCCUUGCUGCGGGUCGAAAUCAAGUGCGGAUUGCCACCAGAUUAUGACAGGAACAUCAGCAACAAUAACAGGAUACUCCGUAAAACUGAGCUGACUCCCAUGGUUAGAGCAUUUACAAAGGAACUACAUCAGCUGCAGUAUACAAGUCAUCCUCAGACAAAUUUCUGUCUGCUUUCU